This 6751-nucleotide long non-coding RNA is filed under the name Aquilegia coerulea. RNAcentral describes it as "long non-coding RNA (ACOE_LNC000809)". The record is from RNAcentral. Lineage: Eukaryota; Viridiplantae; Streptophyta; Magnoliopsida; Ranunculales; Ranunculaceae.
AUGGAUGGGAUUGUGUGCAUGUAUAUCCAUUAGGUAGGGACUAGUAGUGGACUACCCCCAUAUUAGGUUUUGACCAGGUAGCACCAUAGGACUCAAUAGGGACUGUCCACAUUAGGAUUUGACCAGGUAGAAUUCAAGUUCACAUUGUUGUCAAUGGGACUUAAGUCACAUGCAACACUCCCUCGGCUUCAAGAAAUGUCGCUGCUCUUGAUCUCUGCUAAUUUUGUCGUUUCCUUAGCUCCAGAGACUUGUGAAAACAGUUCUGGCGCCACUCUUUCUCAUAAGAAGCUUGACAAAAGUUGACAUGAAUAGAUUCAAUGAUCAAGUCCUUCUCAGCUAUUCAGUUUGCGAAACUUACAAUGCCUUGAGAGUAGUAUUGAACUUGGAUGAAAAUUUUCUCACAGCAGAGAUGCCUGCAGAUAUGGGAAAUCUCAAACAAUUGUGGCGGUUGUCGCUUCAUCAGAACAGAUUCUCCAGUGGGAUCUCAAUGUCUUUUUUGCAUUUAACUGAACUGGAAGUCUUGUAUUUGCAAAACAUAGGAAGUUUGUAAGAAAAAAAUUGACCCUGGCCUUAAGCCGUUAAGCAUGAACCAGUUGACAGGUGAAAUUUCUUCCUCGAUCAAGAGUUUGAGCAAGUUGGUGACACUUCAAUUAGACAAUAACUUGCUUUCAGGUGAGAUUCCAACAUGGUUGCUAGAUAUCAAGGCGUUGAAACUUUUAAAUCCUGGAGGAAAGUAUUGGAACAAUAGUUAACCAGUAGCUCCUUAGUGUCUUAGUGUAUGUUAGUUAUCUCAAUUAUCUUUGAGGUCUUGCUGAGUUGCCACUCCCAUUCCAUUCUGGAUAUCCACCCAAAAGAAUCUUGAUUUCUUAGAUUGAAGCAAGAAGAGCUGGAAGGAGCCUUCCCACCAUGGCUUGCUGAAUCAAAUCUGGGAGAAAAUAAGUUUAUGGGUUCUCUGCCACCGCCUCUAUUUCAGUCUAAAUUUAUCAGUGCUUGCUUUGUCAAGAAACAAUUUUUCCAGUGAGUUACCUAAAAACAGUGGAGAUACACCUUCUCUUAUGAUACUUAAGCUGGCCAACAACUUUUCUGGUCCGAUAUCAAAUUUGAUCUCAAAGAUUUAUGUCACAGAGAUCUCUUCCAACGGAUAUCUGGUCAGCCUCCAGUAAACUUUGCAUUAGGAAAAAUAUACCAGCGUUAGACGACAAUGAGUUCUCAGGUAAGGUCUCUUACCUCCCGAUCUUAGCAAAUUGAGCCAACUUGAGCACCUUGACCUCCAUAAGAACUAUACCACAGGCAAAUUGCCAGAGUUUCUCACCUGAAAAGUCCAGCAUCCAGCCUUCAAAUUGCUAGCCCUCUAAGGCCAGAUUCCAGACGCUCUAUCCAAAUUCAGUAGCCUUCACACUCUUGACUUCUCAAUCAACAGCCUGAAUGGAAAAAUCCCUGCAAACAUUGGAAACAUCGAAAGAAUGAUAAAACCCCCCAUACACUUUAAUGGGUUCUGUAAUUCAGUGACUUGAUUUUAAACAGGAAGAAGUCCCUGCAAGGUCUAUUGGCUGUAACCUUUAAAUAUACUUUUUCUUAGACUUUUCCAGAAACCAAUUGUCAGGAGAAGUUCCAACUUUGAUGGGUGGUCUUACAAGUUUGAAGUUACUCCAUAUCUCUACAAGUAUUCCUGUGAGUUUUGGUGGAUUACAGAGUGUAGAAAGCUUAGACAUGCUCACACAACAAUCUUUCUGGGAAAAUGCCAUGGACACUAGUGAAUCCCCAACAGCUUGGAACUCUGGAUGUAAGCAACAAUAAGCUUGUGGGUCAGACUCCAAUGGGUAGCCAGAUGGACAGGUUUAAUGACCCAAGUUCUUACACUAACAACAGUGGAUUGUGUGUAUGCAAAUACAAAGGCCAUGUCCAAUGACACCUCCACCAGAUAUCUCCACCAAGGUCAGGAGUCAUUAAGCGUGAGGAACUGAGGAUACAUGGUUUUCACGGAUGGGUUAUUUGUCUCAGUGUUGGUAUCUGCAAACUUUUGGGCUAUCUUACUUACACCAAGGAGGCAUCAGCGACGAAGCAUUCGCAAAAUAUAACAUCACCUUACAUGCCCGCCCAGUAAAUCUAUCAUCGUUGUAAACAUAAAACACCAGGGCGUCACAAAGGCAUUGUGCCAAUCCAAGGUGGAUCAGUUAAAAAAGGCCCAUCUUAGGUUCUAAACCAUGAACUAAGACUCCUGGUUCUGUUUUGCCUAUGGAAGAUUAGCAACCAAAGCUAAUAUUAUGCAGAGAUCUCUUUUUUACUAGUCAGAGAACAUGCAAUACUUUCAUAGAUCAACACACCAAAAGAUCUGUAUCAUUGUAAAGCAAUGCAUGGAUCUCUCUGUAACUAGUCAGAGAACAUGCAAUACUUUCAUAGAUCAACACACCAAAAAUCUUAUCAUUAUAAAGCAAUGGGAUCCAUAUAUUCCAAGAAAGAGUUCCAAACCCAACAGUAACAUUGCUAAAGGGGAUUUGGUGAGUUGAUCCACAAGUGUGUUUAUAAUCCUCUUAUUUUGUAAGUAAAAUGCUUAUUAGCAGUAACAAUCAUAAGCAACAACCAUAAGAGUUUAUCUGAAUGUUGUGAAGAUACAUAUAGCAUCAAUAAAAAGCAAAACAUGUGAUAACACAUCACAGCACUAACCCCAGCUAUAGAUAAUAUGCAUAAACUGUCAGGGAAAAACGUUUACCAAAAAAGUAAAACGAAUUUGUAUUAUCACUGUUUCUUAAGGGAGGACUAUGAUUUUGGGUGAGCAGUAAUGAGCACAAUCAUCGGCAGAAAAGAAUCUGGGGAUUCGAGUGACUGUAAAAAAAGUAAAGAUGUGAAAAGUAUCAAAAGCAAAUCAAAAUAUGAAUAGAAAAUGUAAAAAGAUGAGAACCAAUACCAUAAGUAGACUAAUGAAAACAUUCUACAUUUAAAAAAACUCAUUCGUAGUUGAAAAAAUACAUGUAAUAACUUUUUAAAAUAUGAGGUAUUAAGCAAAACAUAACGAAUACAAAAAAAUCAAAAUUAUAUGUAUCAAUAUGUCAAGGCAUCUCUAGCCCCUAAUUUUGAUUGAAUACACAUGUUGAGUACAAGUUUCACUUAAAAAGCAAAACAGAUGUAUUUAUAAAGUUUUCCAAGUGUCCGUUGAAGAUUUUGCAAACAACACCAUCUAUUGGCAGUAAAGAAUCUGGGGAUUUAAGCACCGUAUGAGAUGCCCUUGACGUAUAACAGAUAUAAAAACAUCAACAAGAAGUAAAAAUACGACAAGAAAAUAUAAAAAUAUGAAAACCAAUUCGAUUAAGUAGACUAAAAAGUUUGAAACAAUAACAUCGGUGCAAAGGAGCACCUUCAUAGUAUAAAAUCAAAACAAAGAAAAGUACAAUCCUUAUAUAUAAUAAAAGACGUACAUAAAUAAAUAAAAUUUGCAUCUCCAACCCAUCAUUGAUUGAGUGUGUCCACAUGCUUUCAUGCAAGUUUCACUUCAAAAAUCAAAUGCAUUUUCACAAUGCACUAUAGGGACCAUUGAAGAUUUCAGAUGAAGGGUAGAGGGCACAUUAUUUGGCAGCAUACAAUCUAGGGAUUUCAGCACAAAAAAGGAGAUGCCUAUAUAAAUAUAAAGGUAGCGAAAGAAUAAAAUAAGUCAAGAACCCAAAGAAAUAAAUUAAUACAUUAUAAAUAUUAAAACAUAAACUUUAUACAUACAGCAAAGCACGAUCUUAGGGUCUGUUCGAUUAGAAAUUUUCCAGUAAAUAUACCUUAGGGGGCAGAAAAGACAAGAAGAAAACAGAAAACUCUCUCUCCUUCGUAUUUUCUUCCCAAUUUUCAAUCCUCGGAUAUUUCACCUUUACCCUCCCGAUUUCCUGGUAAAUUUAUUUACAUAAUCAAACAGCCCCUUACUAAAACAAUUUCACAAAAAAAAAAAAAAAAAAACUAUAAAACAAAAGAUCUAGAAAGCAAAAUGAAAAAUUAAUGUAAUAUAUAUCAAUUAAAACAUCGAAGCAUCUCUAACCCCAGUAACAAAUGAAUACCUACAGAGUCGCAUAUUAUUUAAUAAAACUGUCCCACCAAAGUAUUUCCAUAGAAACUUAGAAAGCAUAAAAAUUUGAUACAAGACAAACAUGCUUAAGAUAUAAAUUACCUUUUGAAUCAAAUGAAAUCAAAACAGUAUAAUGCCCCUUAUCCAAUUUGAAUGAACACAAAAGCACCAUUCAUUGUUAAGAAAUUUAAAAAACAAUUAUAAAUGAUAUGUUAUAACAUAGAGUUUAAGCAAAAUAAGACAGAUAAGAAAUUGUUCCGGAAUUGUAUAUCACUUAAAACACCAAUAGCAUCUAUGAUCCCCCCUUAUUGAAUGAAUGUCUAUCUACAUGCUUUAAUACAUUUCUCCUAAAGGCAAAAAACAAAAAUGUUUUCAGAAUGCAAUCUAGUGAAACAGCAGAGAUUCAAGGUGGAUAGUAAAGGAAUCAUUCAUUAAAAGUUUAGAAUCUGGGAAUUCAAGCAACUAUAAAAAGCAUCAAACUUCAGUGAAAAACAGACACAAGAAUGUAGUCAUAUAUUUUAAGUCAUUUAAGUGGAAUGUAGUCAUAUACUUAAGUCAUUUAAGUGGAACAAAAUGAAAAGAGUAUGCAUAUAAAUAGCACUAUCAUAAUUAACAAAAUCUAAAGAAUUUUUUUUAUAACAUCAGAUAAAUAUUAAAGAUAAGGGAAGUUGGUAUUCAAGUGAAUCCAGCUUCACUUGAAUCAGCACAAACAAUAAUGUUUUUCAAAAUUAGUGUGUGUGCACGCAUGCUGGAAUACACAAAUCUUAGAUGACACCUUUCGGUUGAGGUUCCUCAACAUCUGUGUUUCCAUUAUUCUCUUUCUUCCACCAUUAAAGGUGGGUGGAGCCUUUGAUGCUCUAACAGACCCUAUAAUUUCUUCGAAGAAAAAUUAAAAGUUUUCAAUAGUUGAAAACCCUUUAAAAUUGGCAACUAAAACACUAAAGAAGAAUAUUUAUGGCAGAGGAGAAAAACUGAUCAGAGUUUUUAAGUGAUGUAUAAAUUGCAAUUUACGAGCGGAGGGAAUCCAGAGAUACUGGCAGAUGGGUGAAGGUGUAUUGAAAUCGAUAGGAAGUAAACAAUGCAGGAUCCUAUCCAUCGACUUUGACAUAACUUAAAAAAAAUAUCCUGUACUCAAGUACCUGUUAUUAAACCGCUCCUGUCCAUCCAUUUCCAAGAAGAUCUGCAGUUCUUGUGAUUCCUUCUGGGAUUUCUCAACCUGCAAGUUUUACCUCGCAAGAAGUUAUGGCCCAUCUGAAGUCCCCUACUCCUUCAUCAGAUAUCAGUGCAAUUUAAUUAGGUCAAAGUAAGUCUAUGAACACGUGCUUAAAUAUCUCAAUAAUAUGCAGAAAAGUUAAAUAAAAGGACUGGUAAGUGAUAACUUACCCAAUUCCAUGAGAGAUUUGAUUUCAUCCAUCUGUCCACACAUCUAUCAACUAAGCCCUGCGAUCAGCCAUCUACAGCCAAGAAGAAUUUGCAAAUUCACACAACAAGAAAAACAUGAAACAUACUGAACCACAAAGAAAAGUGAAUAAAACCAAGACAAUACAAAAGAUCUUGCUAGACACUGUAAGAAGGUCACAGCACUGGGCUCGUGCUUAUUAUUUAUGGAUGUAUAGGUCUGAAAGUGUUACUCUAUGAUGACUUCUCUUAGAGAUGCAGCGUGUAUUCAUAUAGUAGCAAGAAUCCUGACGCACAUUCCUUUCUAACUAUUCCUAUGUAUAUAUAUAUAUAGUAGCAAGACUGCAGAUAUGUGUAUAUAGGUAGAAGUCUCUGCCCAGGUUGGCACUUGUAUAAAGGGAAAUCAUGAUUUCAAGUUUCUAUGCCUAUUACUUAAGGUUAAACACCUCUCUUCACACUGCAGUUUCUCGAAUCAGCAAUUUGGGUAUCAUUUUUGAAAGGCUACAUAAAAUAAUAUGAAAGAGUAUUAACGCAUGAAUAAAAAUGCAACACCAAAAGUACAAAACCAAAGACAGCUAGACCUCAUACUAGAAUAACUCCCCUCCCCGACUAGGUUGGCACCUCCUCUGACAAUCUACUUCCAACUUUCAAGAUCUUUUCCCUCAAACACUUCGACUCCCUUUAAGAAACAGAAGAAGCCCCAGAAAUAUUCUGGAAAUAUGGGAUAAAGUAAAACCAACAUUAACAAGGGAGCAAAGAGAUAGCAAAACUUUUAUUUCGAUAAGACAAGAAAUUUCUUCAAAUUUAAUCAUACACACCACUCACCAUUGUAAGUAAAUUUGUAAUGUUGUUUGAUUUAUAUAAAACUCUCAACACUUUCUACUAUGUGCUUUUAUCAGGUGUCUCGUUGUAAUGUACAAUAGUAACAGUUUAUCAAAAAAAAAAACCAUAUAGCCAUUGGUUAUAUUUCCAUCAACCAAUCAAGAUAAGUAUUAUGAUUUAGAAGGGAAAAUAAAAUUUAAGUAAAAAAGUGGACUUUUGUGAAGCAUAGUUAUGUUAACCACAGAUUUCCCUGAACCUAGAGCAUGUUGUUAAACAUAGUUUCGAAGCAUAAGUAUAUAUCCUAAUCUAAAUUUCAACUUAAUUAGCAAUUAAAUUGUAGAAUUCAAAUGAAUUAACCAACAAACGAGCAUCUUACAAAGAAGGUGAGCGUCUGACCACAUGCGUCUUCCAUUGUUUUCUUACUUCUUUCACCAUUAAAGCUAAAGUGGAAUCAAUCUACGAAACACUCUUAACGAACCCUAGAAUUUU